GACGAACGCUGGCGGCGUGCUUAACACAUGCAAGUCGAACGGAAAGGCCCUGCUUUUGUGGGGUGCUCGAGUGGCGAACGGGUGAGUAACACGCGAGUAUCCUGCCCUUGACUUUGGGAUAACUUCAGGGAACUGGGGCUAAUACCGGGUAGGAGCUCCUGCUGCAUGGUGUGGGAUGGAAAGUUUCGGCGGUUGGGGAUGGACUCGCGGCUUAUCAGCUUGUUGGUGGGGUAGUGGCUUACCAAGGCUUCGACGGGUAGCCGGCCUGAGAGGGUGACCGGCCACAUUGGGACUAAGAUACGGCCCAGACUCGUACGGGAGGCAGCAGUGGGGAGUAUUGCACAAUGGGCGGAAGCCUGAUGCAGCAACGCCGCGUGCGGGAUGACGGCCUUCGGGUUGUAAACCGCUUUCGCCUGUGACGAAGCGGGAGUGACGGUAAUGGGUAAAGAAGCACCGGCUAACUACGUG
This 468-nucleotide ribosomal RNA is filed under the name uncultured bacterium. Its description in RNAcentral is "partial 16S ribosomal RNA". It matches the Rfam family "Bacterial small subunit ribosomal RNA", at positions 28 to 507 of the family's 1533-position model. The record is from RNAcentral.